CCCUCCCCUGGGACACUUCCUGCUCCGCUCUAGGACUGGGGAGGUCUCCGCAUCUCAGUGGUUCGCUCCCCCGCCCCCCGGCCGAGGUGUGCGCUGGGGGUGACAUCCGACACCCCCGGCCCGCCCCGCUCCGCGCGCGCCUGGGCCUGGCCGCCGGGCCGGGGGCUUUGUGGGUCAGCCACGUCGCCGCGCCCGGGCUUCCCCGCGGGCCCGCCGGUCCGGAAGGUCGGCCCGGGGCUCUUUUCUCCGCUGUUCUCCUUCUCUGGCGCCCCCAGGACACGCGGCCAGUGGACGCCCGGAACGGCCGACCGGGAGUCGCGGCUGGGGAUGGAAGCUGGAAUUGGGGGUGCGGGAUGGAGCGGAGAGAGGAGGCCCCGCGCGCCGUCGGCCGCCUCAUUUCAGACUCCCCUGCGACCCCCCCCCCGCCGCCAGCCGAAGCCCGGGCCGCCCAGCCCCUCCUGCCGCUGCGGGACGCCGAAGGUAGCGCUCACAUCCGCGCCUUCCGGGCCUGGCGCCCACGUGCGGAGUCCCCGGGUUAGGAAAGGCCGCGCAUCCGGAGGCCACGCAGAGCCUCGGGGCUUGCGCAGAGGGGCUGCGGUGAGUCCUGACCCUGAGUGGGGGUCACGGGGCUCGUUGCUCGCUGAAGUGAACACGGUUGCAGCUGUGCACAGUGGCGGAGGGAGAGGAUGAGGGACUCUGACCCAAGGUUAUGUGGCAGUGAGGGGCAAGCAGAAAUGGGGGCCUCCGGACCCCACCCCGAGACAGGGCUGCUGGCCGCUGCACUAUGCUGAAUAUAGCCCAAAUUCUUACAUGGGUCGUCCCCGGGGAAUGCUCAUUUUUCAGGCUCCAGAGCUUGAGAGAAAGUGCGAACCCGGUCCCUGAGCAGGUCUGAUUCCCAUGGCCCCUUCGCCAUCUGCUCUGCACCGAAAUUGGAUUCUCCUACGCAGAGGAGAAGGUGGAGAAGAUUCUCCGUCUUCCGGAGGGUAGCUACUGCCGGUAGCUCCGAUUUCCUUCGGAUCCCCUUUCAAGGGCAAGCAGAAGGAAAUCAGUUUCUCCAAAGAAAGUGGCCCGGCUGAGUAAGUGGGAACAAGGUGGUUGGACUGAGGCACGGGAUCCUUUAGCUCCGUUGCUCUUCUAAUCCCGUGGCCCUGGGCACCGCCACUUCCUCCUCUGAACUGCUGGAAUAAUCACUUCUGACUAGCAGAGUUACUGGGAGCCGCUGUUUGUCAGUGUUCACAUUCUGACUUUAGCAGGAGAUGGAGCGAGCGAAGGAGUGAAGCCCUUGUUUGUGAACAGUGAUUGUUUCCCGGAUGACAGCCAGAUGCCGGGCAGGGCCACGCAGAUCUUAGCUGGAGCCUACAGGUACAAGUGAGAGCCACCCCCUUUGACGUAACUGGACUGGCAUUUACAGAACUCAUGUACAGCCCACUCUCAGGAACACCAGCCAGGAACCGUGACAUGGAGGAGAGGAAUUGGGAGGAACCGAGGGGUCAUCAAAGGCUGGUAGGGCUUAGGUGCUCUAGCAAACAUCCUAGUCUGUGGGGUUCCAGAGCUCUGGUGCUACAGCUCCCAACCCUUUGAUUGGCCCAGGAACUGGCUGUUGAGUGGGCAUCCGUGUUCAUAGCUCUGCCCCUUGCAACCCUAAAGCAGAUAAAAUGCAGGAGGCAGAAAUUGCUGGCAGACAGCAUCCAAUUAAUCCCCACUACCCAAUUCAGUUUCUUCCCCUGACCUGACACGUCCCUGCCCAGCUGUGCCUCCCACUGUUCACCUUUUGAGGCACAAAACGGGCUGUUUAUGCUGCUGCUGCAUUUAGCUCAAAACAGGGCUUCAGAGUCAAGGUUCUGGACUCAGGCACCCGGAUUAAAUCCUGCCCUAUGAAUUCCUAGCCAGGUGACCUCAGGCCUACAUAACCUUUCUGUACCUCAACUUCCUCAUCCAGAAAACAGGGAUGAUGCUGUCUACCUCAUUGGAUGGUUGUGCAGGAUCAAAGAUUCAGUCAUUCAGCAAACCUAUACCGAGUACCUACUGUACACUCAUGAGUGCUAGGCAGCCAGCCUUCCAGGUGCUCAGGUACAUCUGUGAACACAACUGGCUAUUGGAGGAAGCAAAAUCAGUAACAUGACCUGCUCUCUUUGAUCUGUGCUACAGAAAAAAAGGAAAGUGGAGAGGCAUCAGGAAGUCAGGAGUGCUGGGGAGGGGCUGGUAACAGUCAUGGUAUUAAAGAGGAGGGCAGGCAGGCCUUACUGUGAAGGUGGUAUUUGAGAUGAAGUAGUUGGUCAGAGUCCCUGUUUGACACAUGGAGACCACCUUGACAGCAAAGGCCCUAAGGGGGAGCGGUGCGAAGCAAGGUGGGCUGGUGAGUGAGAGGAGAGGGAUGGCAUAGAGCUGGGUGGGGGCACAGGAGCCCGUGGGGAAGGUGUUCGCCUCUGAAUGAAGUGGGGUUGUAUCAGAUACCACGGGUGAAGCAUCGGGAAGAGGAUCCUGCCUGUAAACCCUGCUCAAGGACUGCACCAUCAUCAUGCCCAGUGUGUGCGUGUAUUAGGUUUGUAUGAAUAUAAUGUUGCCAAUUGUAUCUGUUUUUAUGAAAUGUUUGCUAUGUGCCAAUGAUUAUUCGAUCCAUGGGGAGACCAUAGAAGAAUGAUCCAAGGAGUUGGGAGGGGAAUCAAAUAAUAAAUCAGCGAUUCUGCAAUAUAACGCCAUUGGUGAUCGGUGUCAUGAAAGAAAUACAACAUGGUGGGGAAGAGUGUGCUGGGGAUGUUCAGGUAGGGCCUCUGUCAGGAGGUGACAUUUGAGUGGAGAGCAGGUGGGGGGCUCCUGAGCAGAGGUGUGUGGGAAGAGUAUUCCAGCAGAGGAAACAGCGUGUGCUUGCUCAGCUGGGCAGAGGAAUAGUGAGAGAAUGGUGAGGCUGGAACCAGGUCACCAGAUGUUAUAGUCAUUAGAGGGUUUCAAGUAGGAGUGUGGCCUAACGGAAUCUUGAUUUUAUCAAGAUCACUGUGCAGAACAGAUGAAGCAGAGUCUCUGUUAGGAAUCGUUGUAGAGAUCCCGGCAGGAGAUGCUCGGUUCCUGGAGUUGACUGGUGGAGGCACAGCUGGUGAACAGUAGGCCCAAUCCAGGCUCUGUGUUGAAGGCAUGCUGCCUGUGUUAGAGGAGUGAGGAACGGCUGUGACUGGGGCUGAAACUGGGUGACUGAACAGGCCUUCUAGAGAUGGCAGAUGCAAGGAAGCAGGUUUCCAGGAAGGGGUUGGGUUUGGGGUUGAAUUGGUGGAUUUGGGACUUGCUGGUUUUCAGAUGCCCAGGAGACAAGUGGGGAUGACCCUCUGGGAUAGAAAGCUGUGGCUGGAGGUGGAAAUCUGGAGUCACCGUAUGUAGCAGGAGCUGGGGCUUGAGAGGGUUGAGUGUGUUUUGAGAAGCAGCCCCAGGGAGGGCAGACCCUGCGAAAUGCCAGCCCUGGACCGUGGGAGCCCAAGGGGUUAGUGGAGGAGAAGGGAGAGAAGGGGAAGUAGGAGGAGGAAAGUGAGGGAG
Molecule: long non-coding RNA, 3522 nt
Filed under: Homo sapiens (human)
Lineage: Eukaryota; Metazoa; Chordata; Mammalia; Primates; Hominidae
Description: non-protein coding lnc-NLRP3-1:3
Source: RNAcentral